This 72-nucleotide transfer RNA is filed under the name Callithrix jacchus (white-tufted-ear marmoset). It matches the Rfam family "tRNA". From Rfam's summary of the family: Transfer RNA (tRNA) molecules are approximately 80 nucleotides in length. Their secondary structure includes four short double-helical elements and three loops (D, anti-codon, and T loops). Further hydrogen bonds mediate the characteristic L-shaped molecular structure. tRNAs have two regions of fundamental functional importance: the anti-codon, which is responsible for specific mRNA codon recognition, and the 3' end, to which the tRNAs corresponding amino acid is attached (by aminoacyl-tRNA synthetases). tRNAs cope with the degeneracy of the genetic code in two manners: having more than one tRNA (with a specific anti-codon) for a particular amino acid; and 'wobble' base-pairing, i.e. permitting non-standard base-pairing at the 3rd anti-codon position. The record is from Rfam by way of RNAcentral. Lineage: Eukaryota; Metazoa; Chordata; Mammalia; Primates; Cebidae.
UAAGAUGUGGUGUAAUAACUAGCGCAGAGAAUUUUGAGUUCUCAGGAGUAGGUUCAAUUCCUAUAGUUCUAG